RNAcentral lists this long non-coding RNA (749 nucleotides) under Sinocyclocheilus grahami. RNAcentral describes it as "lncRNA (ENSSGRG00000036769.1)". Lineage: Eukaryota; Metazoa; Chordata; Actinopteri; Cypriniformes; Cyprinidae. The record is from RNAcentral.
GCCUCAAUAUCAUCUUUGUCUGUGGCAAUAAUAAUGGCAGGUUCUUCUUCCGGACUGCAACACUCUUAAAUAAUACACUGCUGACAACAAAUGUACCCAAUGUAAACAAUAUCCAGGGUUCGAUACAACCAAGCUUGAUUCAGUGUGUUUUCAGCAUCCCCAUUGAUGCAAACACUAUCAACUUCCUAAACAAUGUCAAUGUCACAAAUGUCAACAUUAGCAACAUUGCUAAUUCCCAGCUGAAUGUUUUCCUUGACGUCUUGCAGGGUUCAACCAAUGGAACUGUUCUGGGAGGACCAAAAAGUGUAUUUAGGUCCUCUGUUCCAGUGAAUCUAGCUAAUGUCAACUCUACUAAUGUUGUAAGCCCCACAGCUAAUUCAAAAGCCAGCAUCUCACUCAACAGCCUACUGAGUCAUGCUGCAAUUUGCCUACUCAGUAUCUUCUUGCAUCUGAUCUGAGGGGCCGGAGAGAGUCCUGAAGACUAAUCGUGCUGUGGGUGGAGUAGUAUAGAUAUGCACUAGCAUCAGCAUGUUUUCCUAAAAUAUUCAUACCUCCGCUGGAUUCUUUCUUUAUUCGAUUCUUAGAUUAUUCACAAACAUAUAGCAAACCCAUGUAUGUUUGACAUAUACAGGGUGUUGGACACAUAUAAUAAAGCCUAACUCUUUUAAUCAUCCUCUAACAUUAUACUGACAGUGGAAAUGGUCCUGAAAACUUUUUGAAGUUACAUUAAAAGCUUAUUAACAAACAUA